AACGGAGCCAAUCAAGCAGGCGGAGGCUGUCCGAGNGUGNGGACNGCCGCGGGGGGNGCAGGUCGAUCCAGGCGGAGGGACGCCGGGCAGNCCGCGGCGGGGCGCGCGGCGGCGGCGCCCCCGGGGCCCCCGGUAAUUNUUGCGUCGGAGUUUAAAUCAAAUCAAACAAAACUUUCAACAACGGAUCUCUUGGUUCUGGCAUCGAUGAAGAACGCAGCGAAAUGCGAUAAGUAAUGUGAAUUGCAGAAUUCAGUGAAUCAUCGAAUCUUUGAACGCACAUUGCGCCCCUUGGUAUUCCGAGGGGCAUGCCUGUUCGAGCGUCAUUACACCACUCAAGCCUGGCUUGGUAUUGGGUGCCGCGGGCCUCCCGCGCGCCUCAAAGUCUCUCCGGCUGAGCGGCUCCGUCUCUAAGCGUUGUAGGCAACUAUUCGCGGUGAGAGGGGGCGGCGCGGCCGUUAAACUUUUCUUAAAGGUUGACCUCGGAUACAGGUAGGGAUACCCGCU
RNAcentral lists this ribosomal RNA (504 nucleotides) under Mycosphaerella sp. 183 JCP-2014. RNAcentral's name for it is "eukaryotic LSU rRNA". The stretch from base 170 to 323 matches the Rfam family "5.8S ribosomal RNA". The record is from RNAcentral. Lineage: Eukaryota; Fungi; Ascomycota; Dothideomycetes; Mycosphaerellales; Mycosphaerellaceae.